This 164-nucleotide ribosomal RNA is filed under the name uncultured bacterium. RNAcentral describes it as "partial 16S rRNA". It matches the Rfam family "Bacterial small subunit ribosomal RNA", at positions 355 to 511 of the family's 1533-position model. The record is from RNAcentral.
UAGGGAAUCUUCCACAAUGGACGCAAGUCUGAUGGAGCGACGCCGCGUGAGUGAAGAAGGGUUUCGGCUCGUAAAGCUCUGUUGUUAAAGAAGAACGUGGGUAAGAGUAACUGUUUACCCAGUGACGGUAUUUAACCAGAAAGCCACGGCUAACUACGUGCCAC